GACGAACCGUGCGAACGUUGUUCGGAAUCACUGGGCUUAAAGGGCGCGUAGGCGGUCGAUCAAGUUCGGGGUGAAAUCCUGCAGCUUAACUGUAGAAGUGCCUUGGAUACUGAUCGGCUCGAGGGAGGUAGGGGUCUGUGGAACUUCUGGUGGAGCGGUGAAAUGCGUUGAUAUCAGAAGGAACGCCGGUGGCGAAAGCGGCAGACUGGACCUCUUCUAACGCUGAGGCGCGAAAGCUAGGGGAGCAAACGGG
This 253-nucleotide ribosomal RNA is filed under the name uncultured bacterium. RNAcentral describes it as "partial 16S ribosomal RNA". It matches the Rfam family "Bacterial small subunit ribosomal RNA", at positions 524 to 776 of the family's 1533-position model. The record is from RNAcentral.